AUUGAACGCUGGCGGCAGGCCUAACACAUGCAAGUCGAGCGAGCGGCGGACGGGUGAGUAAUGUAUGGGGACUCCCCGCUAGGGGGGGAUAACUACUGUAAACGGUGGCUAAUACCGCAUACUCUCUGAUAACCCACAUGGGAUUAGCUAGUAGGUGGGGUAAAGGCUCACAAAGGCAACGAUCCGUAGCUGGUUUGAGAGGACGACCAGCCACACUGGGACUGAGACACGGCCCAGACUCCUACGGAGGCAGCAGUGGGGAAUUUUGGACAAGGGGGGAAACCCUGAUGCAGCCAUCCCGCGUGUAUGAAGAAGGCCUUCGGGUUGUAAAGUACUUUUGGCAGAGAAGCGGUAUCUGCAGAAUAAGCACCGGCUAACUACGUGCCAGCCGCCGCGGUAAUAC
RNAcentral lists this ribosomal RNA (403 nucleotides) under uncultured bacterium. Its description in RNAcentral is "partial 16S ribosomal RNA". It matches the Rfam family "Bacterial small subunit ribosomal RNA", at positions 30 to 526 of the family's 1533-position model. The record is from RNAcentral.